Molecule: ribosomal RNA, 137 nt
Filed under: uncultured eukaryote
Lineage: Eukaryota
Description: partial 18S ribosomal RNA
Rfam family: Eukaryotic small subunit ribosomal RNA
Source: RNAcentral
UGGUGGAGUGAUUUGUCUGCUUAAUUGCGAUAACGAACGAGACCUUAACCUGCUAAAUAGCCGGGCUAUCUUUGGAUGGUCGUCGGCUUCUUAGAGGGACUAUCGGCUCAAGCCGAUGGAAGUUUGAGGCAAUAACA